Molecule: ribosomal RNA, 497 nt
Filed under: uncultured bacterium
Lineage: Bacteria
Description: partial 16S ribosomal RNA
Rfam family: Bacterial small subunit ribosomal RNA
Source: RNAcentral
GAUGAACGCUGGCGGCGUGCCUAAUACAUGCAAGUCGAGCGAACAGACGAGGAGCUUGCUCCUCUGACGUUAGCGGCGGACGGGUGAGUAACACGUGGAUAACCUACCUAUAAGACUGGGAUAACUUCGGGAAACCGGAGCUAAUACCGGAUAAUAUAUUGAACCGCAUGGUUCAAUAGUGAAAGACGGUUUUGCUGUCACUUAUAGAUGGAUCCGCGCCGCAUUAGCUAGUUGGUACGGUAACGGCUUACCAAGGCAACGAUGCGUAGCCGACCUGAGAGGGUGAUCGGCCACACUGGAACUGAGACACGGUCCAGACUCCUACGGGAGGCAGCAGUAGGGAAUCUGCCGCAAUGGGCGAAAGCCUGACGGAGCAACGCCGCGUGAGUGAUGAAGGUCUUCGGAUCGUAAAACUCUGUUAUUAGGGAAGAACAAAUGUGUAAGUAACUAUGCACGUCUUGACGGUACCUAAUCAGAAAGCCACGGCUAACUACGUG